RNAcentral lists this long non-coding RNA (3608 nucleotides) under Homo sapiens (human). RNAcentral's name for it is "HSALNT0189377". The record is from RNAcentral. Lineage: Eukaryota; Metazoa; Chordata; Mammalia; Primates; Hominidae.
GCAAGUCCUGUCAUAUAACUGUCUCCCGCACUGUCUGUCCAUAAAGAAUGUCUCGGAAUUGGUGUAAUUCAGAGAAAUUAAUGACGACUUUCCGCGGGACGGCUCCCUGGGGGAUGAUUAACACUUCAUCGUCCAUCUGAUGCGCGGGGCCCAGCACUCCAUCGCGAACAUUUGGGCCGUGGCCAGCCGCAUUAAAGAAACGGCAGGAGUUGGCAUCAGAAUGCAGCAACUUGAUUCCUGGCUACUUACCAGUUCCGUGACCUGAGUUGUCUUUCAGGAGGUGUAGCCUGGUUGUGGCCUGGGGAGUUUGGCUGUUCUGUGUGGUGUGCCUCCACGGUGUGGUCUCCAGUGAGCUGCUCAGCAGGUGUAGACCCGGGCAGGGCGAAGCUCUCUGGGCUGUUGACUGUGAGGCCCCUCCCCACCGGUAGAUUUCCAAGCCUCUUCAGUUUUGCAUUCAGCCACAGCAGGUAAACUCCUCCAGGGCAGGACCUGACUCUUCAGAGGAAUUUUUUAAUCCCCCUCCCCAGAAGUGCCCACGUCAAGGCCAUAGUAGAGAAGGAGCUCAAGAGCAAUCCCUAAGCAACCACGCUUGGAAGCAUCCUGCAACAGAGGGAUUUGUUCCAGACUCAGAUUUAAUCCACUAUUACCUUUUCGUAAGACAAGUGUUGUCUGAAGGAGUCUGUGUGUAAUUUUGAGACAAAAGGAUUGCAGAACUCAGCUCCCAGGUUGUCUCAUAUCUGAUUCUUCGAAAGAGGAAAAGAAGCGAACUCUUCUGCACAAUAGCUGAGCAGAUAGGAGAGAAAAAGCUUGAAGAUUCACAGUGGAGCAAGGCUAAUUGGAGCCUUCCUCAGAGCAGCUCAACUAUCCCAGUUUUACCUAUCCCAUUCCUUGCCAUUCCCACUUGUAAUUCUGUCUUGGCAAGAACACCAUACUGAAGGUUCUUAAAGCAGUUUGUAGACUUUAAUUAGUUCUGUGGAAAGUCAGUCAAAGCUCAGCCUUCAUUCUGCCAACAGAGACAACAGUGGUGGGUGUGGAAGGAAGGCAAGAAGAAGAUGGACACCCAGAGCAGUUGUGCAACUUACUGAAGGCCAUGUGGAUAGGAGGAACUGGGUUUAAAACCCCUGAGUCUUGAUAAAAGUGUCUUAGCCUUCUAGAUUCCUAAACAGGUAGUGGGCUCAUCCUACUAACCUACUUUGCUAGGGUGUUGUUGAUGAAUGCUUAUAAACCCUGUCCUAGAUGAUAGGUUUGGAAGAUUGUUAAAGAAAGCAUGUCAUUAAGUCCCUACUCACCCCCUCCUUGACAAAUAGCCCUGGAGGGAAAUGAAUAUUAGCCAGAAUCGUAGGGCCUCCACUUCAAUGGAAUGAACUGAGAUUCAACAACAAGAGAAAUGUUCCAACAGUGAGGGAAAUCAACAAUGUGCUGGGGGUGAAGGGUAGGGGUUGGGAAGGCCUAAACAGGUGACCAUUGCCAGACAGCCCAGACAAGAUCAUCACAGAAUAGCUGAUUCCCAUUAGACACUGUGGGUGAUCAUUAUCUUAAAAUUCAGGACACUAUUUUUGUAGUAGUUUCCCUUCCUCUCUUUGUAAGAGCAGAAGACCUCUCUGGGGCCUAUCACAAGACAAGCGGGUGUUUGCAAAUGAGGGACGUACUUUGAGACUGAAUUGCUCUGUGCUUCUCUAAAAGACAUGGUUAAGAGUUUGGGCGCUGAUGUUAGAGACUGAGAUUAAAAUCCUUCCUUGCCACUUCCAUCAGUAUAAAUUUGGAUAAGUUUCUUAACUUCUCUAAGCCUUGAUUUUCUCACCUAUAAAAUGGGCCUAAUAAUAGUGCCUAACUUAGAGGUUUGUUGUAAAGGUUAAAUGCAAUUAUUCAGGUAAAGCCUUAAUGGAGCCUGAUAUGUAGUAAGCACUCAAUCCAUUUUAUCUACUGACUCUUUUCUCUGUGUGGGUUACCCACUUUGGAGAUUGUCCCCAGUAAUUUCUUUGGUCAAGUCUUGAUCUCCCUGGCCCCUUGGCUGUCUUCUCCCACCAUGAUCAGUGAGAAGUUGAGGAGCACUAAUACCAAAUUCUUUUUCAUGUUAGUUAGGAGAAAGCAGAAUUACGAAGGUCAACCUGCUGGUGUAAAAAAAUAUUACAUAGAUUAGCCCUGCUCUACAUAUUAGAUAUGUUCUCAAAAUGCCUAAGUGGCCUUUUUUUUUUUUUUUAAUUUAAGUUCUAGGGUACAUGUGCACAACGUGCAGGUUUGUUACAUGUGUAUACAUGUGCCAUGUUGGUGUGUGGCACCCAUUAACUUGUCAUUUACAUUAGGUAUAUCUCCUAAUGCUAUCCCUCCCACCCCCACCCCCUGGCAGGCCCUGGUGUGUGAUGUUCCCCACCCUGUGUCCAUGUGUUCUCGUUGUUCAAUUCCCACCUAUGAGUGAGAACACACGUGUUUGGGUUUUUGUCCUUGCGAUACUUUGCCAAGAAUGAUGGUUUCCAGCUUCAUCCAUGUCCCUACAAAGGACAUGAACUCAUCAUUUUUAUGGCUGCAUAGUAUUCCAUGGUGUAUAUGUGCCACAUUUUCUUAAUCCAGUCUAUCAUUGAUGGACAUUUGGGUUGGUUCCAAGUCUUUGCUAUUAUGAAUAGUGCCACAAUAAACGUAUGUGUACCUGUGUCUUUAUAACAGCAUGAUUUAUAAUCCUUUGGGUAUGUGCCCAGUAAUGGGAUGGCUGGGUCAAAUGGUAUUUCUAGUUCUAGAUCCUUGAGGAAUUGCCUAAGUGGCCAUGUUUAUAUUGGGUAAUCUUUAAAUGACUUUAUUUGCAAGUCUGAGUAAUAUACUCAUAGAAACAAGAAUCACAGUUAAGGGAAGGGAAACUAAUAUUUGAGCUUGAGACACUUUCCAUAUCCAAGUCCAAUUGAAUCCUCCCAAUCACCCAAUAAAGAGAUCUUAUUAUUCCCAUUUUAUAUGUUAAACAACCAAAACUCAGAGAGGUUAAUUAAUACUCUCAAAAUCACUCUUCUAGGGGUGGUGGAGCCUAAGUUUGAAUGCAGCUCUGGCUCCCAAACCUGUCCAUUUUCUACUAUGUCAUGCUCAAAGGCAUAUUCUGCUUUUGUCCAUUGUCAGCCUAUGUGCAUUUAAGUUUCCCACACAAAUUCAAGAAGAAUUUUAUCCAUCAAUUCACAUGACCUUGAGUAUUAAUUUAGUUUAAAAAUCUUUCCCCUUAUGAUUUAAAAAAUAUUCACUUUAAGAAAUUAUCUGCCAUGUGCAGGAUUAUCAUAGGAUUAAAAAAAAAAAAGAAAUUAGCAGCCGGUUGUGGUGGUUCAUGCCUGUAAUCCCAGCACUUUGGGAGACUGAGGUGGGAGCAUUGCUUGAGGCCAGGAGUUCAAGACCAGCCUGGGUAGCAUAGUGAGACUCUGCCUCUACAAAAAAUUAAAAAUUAGCCAAGCAUGGUGACACACGCCUGUAGUCCCAGCUACUCAGGAGGCUGAGGCAAGAAGAUUACUUGAGCCCAGAAGGUUGAGGCUGCAGUGAGCUAUGACCACUACAUUCCAAUCUGGGUGAGGGGUGAGAGAAGAAAGAAAGAUAAAGAAGGAAAGAAAGAAAGUAAGAAAGAGAAGGAAAAAGGAGAAGGA